GGAUCUCUCGAAGAGCAUGGUGUUUUUGCACGUCCUAGUUCACCGUGAAAAGUGCUGGAUUUGUAAAGCUGCCUUCCUCUUUCUCUCUCUCUCUCUCUCUGUCUUUCUCUCAUAUGAAGAACAGAGCCACUAGCUUGUGCUUAUCAUCACAAUUACAAAUUUUAAAAGAUGGAAGAGCAGAUAGCAACCUGUUACAAAUUUUCUCUUCGAAUCAAAUGUUUAUAUAUUCAUUUGAGGAAACUUGAACCAACGUCUAUGGAUUCUCCAGUAAGAAGUAUAAUGUGAAAAUUAUGUAAGGGAGAGUCUGUAAUAAAGAAUUUAAAGAUGUCAAUAUUCAUUAUGCUUAGCAUAAUUGCAAUAAUAAAUUGUACAUCAAAAUGAUAUUUUUUAUAAAACUGAUUAAUAUGCGGUAACAAUGUAAUCACGUCUGUGAUCCAUAUAGAUACUGUAGUGGAAGAGACUACUGUAUGUAGUAGUAGCAACAGUGAAGUAUCACCAGAACUAAAAAGUUAUAUUAGCGAUAAAGAAAAAGAAAAAUGAGGUUAUUAUGUAUAAAUAUAUUGCAGAUAACGCUGAAGUUCCUCUUUGAUUAUCAAGUUACAGAACCUGGAAUCCACUAUUUACAAGUUUUUACACGGAGUGACAUAUCAAAGCUAUUUGAAAAUGCGCUAUCAAAUGAGGUUUACCUGUUAGUACUUUAAGAGGAUAUUAAACAUAUAGGAAAAGGAAAUGAAGGUAAAA
Long non-coding RNA from Cyphomyrmex costatus, 741 nucleotides. RefSeq lists it as uncharacterized. The record is from RefSeq and is a predicted model, not a curated record. Lineage: Eukaryota; Metazoa; Arthropoda; Insecta; Hymenoptera; Formicidae. The transcript is spliced from 8 exons.